UGCCUUUUUAAAUACAAGAAAAAUUACAAUGAUUUUUUUCUCCAUCAAAAUCACAAUGUCAUCAAAAUUGGAUCAGUAGUCGAAUCAAUCAAACCACCAAUUCGAUUUAAUUAAAUAAAUUAUUAAAAUCAUAAAAAAUAAAAAUAAAAAUAUUAUUACUGAUAAUCCAAUCAACGCUUUAGCUUGGUUCAACCGGUUUUGAGCAGUUAAUAGGUCAACUGGUUUAAACCAUCUCUCCAGACCGAUACUAUGGAUAGUUAUCGAUACAACCGGUUCGAUUGGCUGGUCCAAU
This 292-nucleotide long non-coding RNA is filed under the name Gossypium barbadense (sea-island cotton). RNAcentral's name for it is "long non-coding RNA (GBAR_LNC019206)". Lineage: Eukaryota; Viridiplantae; Streptophyta; Magnoliopsida; Malvales; Malvaceae. The record is from RNAcentral.